This is a long non-coding RNA of Aquila chrysaetos chrysaetos, 291 nucleotides long. RefSeq lists it as uncharacterized. NCBI's taxonomy places the organism in Eukaryota, Metazoa, Chordata, Aves, Accipitriformes, Accipitridae. The record is from RefSeq and is a predicted model, not a curated record. The transcript is spliced from 3 exons.
AGCAUCCUUAAUCUACACCCUCUCCUGCCAUGGCUCUGUUGUGGUGGGCUCUACACGUGUCACAUCGUGAAGAAAUCUCUCCUUCACGGAGGCUCUGAAAGUGGCCGGGGAAAAGGUUGCCCAGUAUAAUUAGGUCAUUGGAGUUUGCCCCACGAAAAAGGAAUUGUGGAUCUGAAACCUAAAUAACUGCAGCAAUCCACAUAAACAGAUGGGGGCACUAUCCAAUAUGCUCAACAACAUCCCGCCCGGCGCACAAUGCGGCAGAUCAUCAGAGCUCACGGCGGCGGCGGG